This 253-nucleotide ribosomal RNA is filed under the name uncultured bacterium. RNAcentral describes it as "partial 16S ribosomal RNA". It matches the Rfam family "Bacterial small subunit ribosomal RNA", at positions 524 to 776 of the family's 1533-position model. The record is from RNAcentral.
UACGUAGGGUGCAAGCGUUGUCCGGAAUUAUUGGGCGUAAAGAGCUCGUAGGCGGUUUGUCGCGUCGAAUGUGAAAACCCGGGGCUCAACCCCGGGCCUGCAUUCGAUACGGGCAGACUAGAGUUCGGUAGGGGAGUCUGGAAUUCCUGGUGUAGCGGUGAAAUGCGCAGAUAUCAAGAGGAACACCAGUGGCGAAGGCGAGUCCCUGGACAAACCCUGACACUGAGGCACGAAAGCCAAGGGAGCAAACAGG